RNAcentral lists this ribosomal RNA (272 nucleotides) under uncultured bacterium. Its description in RNAcentral is "partial 16S ribosomal RNA". It matches the Rfam family "Bacterial small subunit ribosomal RNA", at positions 524 to 794 of the family's 1533-position model. The record is from RNAcentral.
UACGGAGGGUGCAAGCGUUAAUCGGAAUUACUGGGCGUAAAGCGCACGCAGGCGGUUGGAUAAGUUAGAUGUGAAAGCCCCCGGGCUCAACCUGGGAAUUGCAUCCAAAACUGUCUGACUAGAGUAUGGCAGAGGGUGGUGGAAUUUCCUGUGUAGCGGUGAAAUGCGUAGAUAUAGGAAGGAACACCAGUGGCGAAGGCGACCGCCUGGGCUAAUACUGACACUGAGGUGCGAAAGCGUGGGGAGCAAACAGGAUUAGAUACCCCCGUAGU